CCUACGGGUGGCAGCAGUGGGGAAUAUUGGGCAAUGGGCGCAAGCCUGACCCAGCAACGCCGCGUGAAGGAAGACGGCUCUCCGGUUGUAAACUUCUUUUCUCAGGGACGAAGCAAGUGACGGUACCUGAGGAAUAAGCCACGGCUAACUACGUGCCAGCCGCCGCGGUAAUCCGUAGGUGGCAAGCGUUAUCCGGAUUUACUGGGUGUAAAGGGCGUGUAGGCGGGACUGCAAGUCAGAUGUGAAAACCACGGGCUCAACCUGUGGCCUGCAUUUGAAACUGUAGUUCUUGAGUACUGGAGAGGCAGACGGAAUUCCUGGUGUAGCGGUGAAAUGCGUAGAUAUUAGGAGGAACACCGGUGGCGAAGGCGGUCUGCUGGAGAGCAACUGACGCUGAGGCGCGAAAGCGUGGGGAGCAAACAGGAUUAGAUACCCGAGUAGUC
This 443-nucleotide ribosomal RNA is filed under the name uncultured bacterium. RNAcentral describes it as "partial 16S ribosomal RNA". It matches the Rfam family "Bacterial small subunit ribosomal RNA", at positions 338 to 795 of the family's 1533-position model. The record is from RNAcentral.